This 381-nucleotide long non-coding RNA is filed under the name Hordeum vulgare. RNAcentral's name for it is "long non-coding RNA (HVUL_LNC011465)". The record is from RNAcentral. Lineage: Eukaryota; Viridiplantae; Streptophyta; Magnoliopsida; Poales; Poaceae.
AAGACGACGAGCCAACGAGAUAUUUUUUCUUACCGAAAUAUAGACGAGGAGCACUAAUCGUACAUGCUCACGUACGUACAGAUUUCCAGUCAAUACGGCUGAUGGCCUGCCGGCAUCACUGAUCACAAGGAAGAAAAUCUGCUCUCGCUGAUCACAAGGAGACGAGCUGCUCUCGCUGAUCCGAGGUGGACGUUAGGAAGACGUUUCGGACGGCGAUCACGUCAGGCAGUGAGGCGUUCAAUGCGAUCACUUCUGGCGGCGGCGAUGGGAAGAUGUUUCGGCGAGGCGGCGAGCCGCGAGCACAGCCUGCCGCGAUCCCGUUUUGCUACAGGCCACAGGCCCAGGUCGCUCGAGGCAACUAGGCCCACUGCCCAAACGCAC